CGGGUGAGUAACACGUGGGAAACCUACCUCUUAGCAGGGGAUAACAUUUGGAAACAGAUGCUAAUACCGUAUAACAAUGACAACCGCAUGGUUGUUAUUUAAAAGAUGGUUCUGCUAUCACUAAGAGAUGGUCCCGCGGUGCAUUAGCUAGUUGGUAAGGUAAUGGCUUACCAAGGCGAUGAUGCAUAGCCGAGUUGAGAGACUGAUCGGCCACAAUGGGACUGAGACACGGCCCAUACUCCUACGGGAGGCAGCAGUAGGGAAUCUUCCACAAUGGGCGAAAGCCUGAUGGAGCAACGCCGCGUGUGUGAUGAAGGGUUUCGGCUCGUAAAACACUGUUGUAAGAGAAGAAUGACAUUGAGAGUAACUGUUCAAUGUGUGACGGUAUCUUACCAGAAAGGAACGGCUAAAUACGUGCCAGCAGCCGCGGUAAUACGUAUGUUCCAAGCGUUAUCCGGAUUUAUUGGGCGUAAAGCGAGCGCAGACGGUUAU
RNAcentral lists this ribosomal RNA (492 nucleotides) under Weissella confusa. Its description in RNAcentral is "bacterial SSU rRNA". It matches the Rfam family "Bacterial small subunit ribosomal RNA", at positions 103 to 582 of the family's 1533-position model. Lineage: Bacteria; Bacillati; Bacillota; Bacilli; Lactobacillales; Lactobacillaceae. The record is from RNAcentral.